GGACUACCAGGGUAUCUAAUCCUGUUCGCUCCCCACGCUUUCGUCCAUCAGCGUCAGUUGUUGCUUAGUAACCUGCCUUCGCAAUUGGUGUUCUAAGUAAUAUCUAUGCAUUUCACCGCUACACUACUUAUUCCAGCUACUUCAACAACACUCAAGACUUGCAGUAUCAAUGGCAGUUUCACAGUUAAGCUGUGAGAUUUCACCACUGACUUACAAAUCCGCCUACGGACCCUUUAAACCCAAUAAAUCCGGAUAACGCUUGCACCCUCCGUAUUACCGCGGCGGCUGGCAC
RNAcentral lists this ribosomal RNA (292 nucleotides) under uncultured Bacteroidota bacterium. RNAcentral describes it as "uncultured Bacteroidetes bacterium partial 16S ribosomal RNA". The record is from RNAcentral. Lineage: Bacteria; Pseudomonadati; Bacteroidota.